RNAcentral lists this ribosomal RNA (393 nucleotides) under uncultured bacterium. Its description in RNAcentral is "partial 16S ribosomal RNA". It matches the Rfam family "Bacterial small subunit ribosomal RNA", at positions 523 to 918 of the family's 1533-position model. The record is from RNAcentral.
AUACGGAGGAUCCGAGCGUUAUCCGGAUUUAUUGGGUUUAAAGGGUGCGCAGGCGGGAGAUUAAGUCGGCGGUGAAAUUUUGCAGCUCAACUGUAAAAGUGCCUUCGAAACUGGUUUCCUUGAGUGUAGAUGAAGUAGGCGGAAUUUGUGGUGUAGCGGUGAAAUGCAUAGAUAUCACGAGGAACUCCGAUUGCGCAGGCAGCUUACUAAACUACUACUGACGCUCAGGCACGGAGGCGUGGGGAUCAAACAGGAUUAGAUACCCUGGUAGUCCACGCAGUAAACGAUGAUUACUAGCUGUUUGCGAUACAAUGUAAGCGGCUGAGCGAAAGCGUUAAGUAAUCCACCUGGGGAGUACGUUCGCAAGAAUGAAACUCAAAGGAAUUGACGGGG